CUCUCGGUAGCUCAAUUGGACAGAGCAUAGGUCUUCUAAACCUAGGGUUGCAGGUUCGAUCCCUGUCCGAGAGGCCA
Molecule: transfer RNA, 77 nt
Filed under: Caudoviricetes sp.
Lineage: Duplodnaviria; Heunggongvirae; Uroviricota; Caudoviricetes
Description: tRNA-Arg
Rfam family: tRNA
About the family: Transfer RNA (tRNA) molecules are approximately 80 nucleotides in length.
Source: RNAcentral